GCAGGCGUGAUCCGCUCCCUACCUGUUUUCAAACGCCAGUCUGUUCCCGCCAGUUUUUUUCUUGUAUUUUGGGUUGGGUUGGUUUGGGUUGGUUUGCGCUAGAAACUGCGGAAUGUUUCUGAUCCUGUGGCUUAGAAGCAGCAACAGACAGAACAGAAGCUGGUAUGAUUGACAGCUAUUUGCAGCUGACUUUGGAUCAGCAGUAGACCAGCAGAGGGCGCACUUCUCUCCAGCGAUGUUCUGGGUCUAGGCCAGAACAUAGCCAGAAAUAGUAAUCUUAAAAUGUAUGGGUUUUCUGAUCACAAAAUAUCAAAUGACAAACUUAUCCAAUAUGUAAAGAAAUGAGUAAGAAAAUUAAAAAACAACACAAAUAUAAC
This 377-nucleotide long non-coding RNA is filed under the name Mus pahari (shrew mouse). RNAcentral describes it as "lncRNA (MGP_PahariEiJ_G0004259.1)". The record is from RNAcentral. Lineage: Eukaryota; Metazoa; Chordata; Mammalia; Rodentia; Muridae.